Molecule: long non-coding RNA, 3071 nt
Filed under: Marmota monax (woodchuck)
Lineage: Eukaryota; Metazoa; Chordata; Mammalia; Rodentia; Sciuridae
Source: RNAcentral
AAAGACUUUCUGCAAAUACCAUUGAGUGCCAUAACCACUUCCCCUUGCAUCUCCCUGGCAAGAAUAUAGCUGCAAGAGAGGCUGGGUACUGGGGUAGGCAGCUAAUAGUUUUGCUGCAUGUUCUAGUUAAUACUUUAAAAUUAAUUCUAGGACCUGUUAGAACCUUGACUGGGGGAAAGAGAGACUUGAUUUCUGGUCCUGAUUUUGACAUUGGUAUAUUAGUCCACUUUCUGUUGCUAUAACUAAAUACCUGAAACUGGAUCACUUAUAGAGAGAUGAGACUUGCUUAGCUCACAGUUUUGGAAACUGAAAGUCUAAGAUCUGGUUGCCCUUGCUGGUUAGUCUCUGGUGAGGCCCUUAAGGAGAAUGGCACCACAGUGGCAGCAAUAGCACACUCAGAGGUAAUCAUGUAGUAAUACAGGAAGCCAGAGAGACACAGGGGCUAGGCUUCCUCUUUUUAGAACAAUUCACCCUUUCAGGAACUAACCAGGGUCCCAUGAGAACUGUAUUAAUCUCUGCCAGAGUAGCACCCCUAGUUUAGCCAGCUUUUCAUUACUGUGACCAAAAUACCCAACCAGAACAACUUAGAGAAGGGAAAUUUUAUUUUGGCUUAUGGUUUCCAAGGUCUUAGUCCAUAGUUGGCUGAGUCUAUUGCUCUGGGCUGAAAGUGAGGCAGAAUAUCAUGGUGGAAGGGCAUGGCAGAAGGAAGCUGUUCCAUUCUUGGCAGCAAGGACGCUAAGAGGGGGAAGGGGAAAGAGACAGUAGGGAAGACACACCCGUCCAUGGCACCCCUCCAGAGGCUCAUCUCCUCCAGCCAUGACCCACCUACCUGCAGUACCACCCAGUCCCUCCAUUUAAACUAGAGUGGACGGAUUAGGUUACAGCCCUCAAACUCCGAUCAUUUCACCUGUGCAUUAACACAGGUGCUUUGGGAGGACACUUCAUAAAACAUAAUAAGCCCAAUAACCUAACCACCUUCCACUAGGGCCCACUUUCUAGCUUCCGCCACCUCUCCGCAUCACCACAGUGGGGACCAAACUUUCCACCACAUGAAACUUUGGGGGACACACUCAAAAACAUCCAAACCACAACAUUCAUGAAUGAAUUUAGUCAAGAAAGUAUUUAUUGAUGAUUCCUUUCUGUGCGCCAAACACUAGUUUAGAGGCAGAAGGUAGCAGACCUAGAAUCAAGCAGAGGGUUCCCAGAACUUACAUCCUAAUCACUGGCCACUUGUCCUUGGCAUAGUCUCCUCCCUUCCCACAUCUGUCAUCCUCUACACUACCCCUUCCCAAUGUACGCAUUUAUUCUACCAGUUGGCUCAUAAAAGCAAAUUGCAAACUCAAACUAUUUAAAACUUCUGCCCCUUCUUAGGUUCACAUAAACAUUUACCUCCUUCAUUUCAAAACAUCACGUUGUGGGGCUGGGGUUGUGGCUCAGCAGUAAAGUGCUCACCUAGCAUGUGCAAGGCGCUGGGUUCGAUGCUCAGCACCACAUAGUAAAUAAAUAAAUAAUAAAGGUAUUGUUCCAAUUACAACUAAAAAAUAUUUUAAAAAACCCAUAAUUUUGUGCAGCAUAAAUACAUGUAACUUUUAUUUUUCAAUUAAAAAAUAAAAAUGAGUUUAUUUCCUCUUUUCAGGAGGUACGAAAAUUAAUAUUUCUUGGGUAAAGUCUCUGGCCAAGAUCUUCUGGAAUCUUCCUUUUGGUUGUUUGCAUUAUAGCACAAAAUUGACUCCCCCCCUCCAAAUAUAGUUACAAUGUUUUAUGAAACUAGAUCCAUCUGUUUCCUUUCAUUCUAGUAUUUUCCCCUCUGAGAAUCACUGUGUGAUAGUCUUAUUGAAAAAUAUUCACUAGUCAUGUCUCCUGCCCCAGGUUUAUUUAUUCCCAUUGUCUUGCCCUUUACUCUGACAUUUCAGUCAAGCUUGGAGGACACCCCCAUGGCUGACCUUGAGGUUGUGUCCCUGGAACUUUAGCUGGUUUUCAGCUUUCCACAGGGAAGGGUUCCUGGUGUUUGCCCUCUCAGCAGGGGAGCAGAGUCACACAUAUUGACUUUCAUAUCCACUUCUGAAAAGGGCAUGAUAAAUAGUUCUUCAACUAACAUGCCCAACUACCAGGGUUUUGAGGAGCUUGAUUAGAAAUAUUUUCAAUAUUUAAAAAAUGUAUGAAGUAUCUUGCAAUGAGACCAAAUAAGUCAACCUGAGUGUCAAGUUUCUUCGUGCUGGUCUGUGAUUGUAUGAAUGUACUGUGACAAUAAUGAUAAAUUGAAGUUUAUAGUGACUUUUGCUUGGCAGUAAAAUAAGUUUUUAAUAAAAUGUGGGAAACAAAUUAAUAAUGUAUUGUGUAAUAAAUGCAGUUUUAUAGUAGAAAAAAUAAUGAUUCAAAACGUGGUAAUGACAGUGGUAGGGAGAAUUAAACAAUGUAAUUUUCAUGUUCCUUUUGGUGAGGUUCAGUUUUUCACAAGUUUCAGACAAUCUACAUUUUAUUACUCCAUGAAUUACAUAAUAUCAUUUGUCCACUUUCCUAUUGGGUUUUCUCUUUUGUGUUGAUUUGUAACAUAAUAAUACUUUAUUAAGUAUCGGUACUUUAUUACUAUGUUGCAAUGUCUUCAGACUGUGCUUUGUUUAUAACCUCAUUUAUUAGAUUUUUACCAUAUAUGUAAUUCAACUUGUAAUGUUUUUGUUCAUGUCUUUUGGGUUUCAUGCCAGCUUCCAUAUUAUUCUACUAUCCAUUUAUCUUUUCAAAUAAAGGAAAGUUCAGCUUCCUCCCUGGGGAAUUGACAAAGUCCUGGGUCAUCAGUUGUAACUUCUAAGCUGAAUUACAAGGUUAAUAUGCUCUCCCUGGUGAUUUGGGGGUACAGAUUCUUGGGAGUCUGUGAAUAGAAUUGGGGGAUGGAGGUCUAUGAAUUUACAUAUUUAUUUUUACUGUUGGCCAUAAACAUUACAAGUAUUUUCAUAUCACAUUAAGGUUGUUGCAGACAUCUUGAAAUAUUUACUCUCCCAUUCCUUUUAGACCAGAUGCUAGAUCUUGCCAUUUAAUGCAUUCAUAAAUAAACAAGAAUAUUAUUAUAUCAUAAA